GGGGAAUAUUGCGCAAUGGGGGAAACCCUGAGGCGGCAAUACCGCGUGGGGAAAGAAGGUUUUGGGAUCGUAAAGUCCUGUUAUGGGGGAAGAAAAAAGGACGGUACCCAAGAAGAAAUGCCCGCCAAACUAGUGGCCAGCAGCCGCGGUAAUACGUAGGGGACAAGCGUUGUCCGGAUUUACUGGGCGUAAAGGGCACGCAGGCGGUUUUUUAAGUCAGAUGUGAAAGGUACCGGCUCAACCGGUGACAUGCAUUUGAAACUGAAAGACUUGAGUAUUGGAGAGGCAAGUGGAAUUCCUAGUGUAGCGGUGAAAUGCGUAGAUAUUAGGAGGAACACCGGUGGCGAAGGCGGCUUGCUGGACAAAUACUGACGCUGAGGUGCGAAAGCGUGGGGAGCAAACA
RNAcentral lists this ribosomal RNA (403 nucleotides) under uncultured Acetobacterium sp. RNAcentral's name for it is "bacterial SSU rRNA". It matches the Rfam family "Bacterial small subunit ribosomal RNA", at positions 356 to 774 of the family's 1533-position model. The record is from RNAcentral. Lineage: Bacteria; Bacillati; Bacillota; Clostridia; Eubacteriales; Eubacteriaceae.